RNAcentral lists this transfer RNA (72 nucleotides) under Bos taurus (domestic cattle). It matches the Rfam family "tRNA". Rfam says of the family: Transfer RNA (tRNA) molecules are approximately 80 nucleotides in length. Their secondary structure includes four short double-helical elements and three loops (D, anti-codon, and T loops). Lineage: Eukaryota; Metazoa; Chordata; Mammalia; Artiodactyla; Bovidae. The record is from Rfam by way of RNAcentral. RNAcentral also lists the same sequence under 5 other names.
UCCCCGGUGGUUCAGUGGUUAAGACUUUGCCUUCCAAUGCAUGGGAUACAGGUUUGAUCCCUGAUCGGGGAG